GAUGAACGCUGACAGAAUGCUUAACACAUGCAGGUCAACUUGAAUUUGGGUUUUUAACUUCGGUUUGGGUGGCGGACGGGUGAGUAACGCGUAAAGAACUUGCCUCACAGCUAGGGACAACAUUUGGAAACGAAUGCUAAUACCUAAUAUUAUGAUAAUAGGGCAUCCUAUAAUUAUGAAAGCUAUAAGCGCUGUGAGAGAGCUUUGCGUCCCAUUAGCUAGUUGGAGAGGUAACGGCUCACCAAGGCGAUGAUGGGUAGCCGGCCUGAGAGGGUGAUCGGCCACAAGGGGACUGAGACACGGCCCUUACUCCUACGGGAGGCAGCAGUGGGGAAUAUUGGACAAUGGACCGAGAGUCUGAUCCAGCAAUCCUGUGUGCACGAUGAAGUUUUUCGGAAUGUAAAGUGCUUUCAGUUGGGAAGAAACAAAUGACGGUACCAACAGAAGAAGUGACGGCUAAAUACGUG
This 467-nucleotide ribosomal RNA is filed under the name uncultured bacterium. RNAcentral's name for it is "partial 16S ribosomal RNA". It matches the Rfam family "Bacterial small subunit ribosomal RNA", at positions 28 to 507 of the family's 1533-position model. The record is from RNAcentral.